This 497-nucleotide ribosomal RNA is filed under the name uncultured bacterium. RNAcentral describes it as "partial 16S ribosomal RNA". It matches the Rfam family "Bacterial small subunit ribosomal RNA", at positions 28 to 507 of the family's 1533-position model. The record is from RNAcentral.
GAUGAACGCUGGCGGCGUGCCUAAUACAUGCAAGUCGAGCGAACGGACGAGAAGCUUGCUUCUCUGAUGUUAGCGGCGGACGGGUGAGUAACACGUGGAUAACCUACCUAUAAGACUGGGAUAACUUCGGGAAACCGGAGCUAAUACCGGAUAAUAUUUUGAACCGCAUGGUUCAAAAGUGAAAGACGGUCUUGCUGUCACUUAUAGAUGGAUCCGCGCUGCAUUAGCUAGUUGAUAAGGUAACGGCUUACCAAGGCAACGAUGCAUAGCCGACCUGAGAGGGUGAUCGGCCACACUGGAACUGAGACACGGUCCAGACUCCUACGGGAGGCAGUAGUAGGGAAUCUUCCGCAAUGGGCGAAAGCCUGACGGAGCAACGCCGCGUGAGUGAUGAAGGUCUUCGGAUCGUAAAACUCUGUUAUUAGGGAAGAACAUAUGUGUAAGUAACUGUGCACAUCUUGACGGUACCUAAUCAGAAAGCCACGGCUAACUACGUG